Molecule: long non-coding RNA, 5239 nt
Filed under: Brassica napus (rape)
Lineage: Eukaryota; Viridiplantae; Streptophyta; Magnoliopsida; Brassicales; Brassicaceae
Description: long non-coding RNA (BNAP_LNC002492)
Source: RNAcentral
AGGGGCCAAAUUAAUAAUUGGGCUUUAGAGCCUAACAUUCUCAGGCACGGCCCUGCAGAUCACCAUAUCAAGACUUUGCAGCUUUUUUUUUGUUAACAAAUCGCUGAUAGGCUUCUACAGAGGUUGGCCAUUAAUCCAUCUCUUGAACAUAGCAGAGUACUCAUCUGGUUUAUACACAAUGGUGUGCCCGCCGCCCUAUAAACCAAACCCACAAAACUGAGAAACAAUAUCAAGUAUAAAGAAACUAUUUUAAAUUUACGUAAAAAGAAAAGUGUUGACUUGCUUUUACAGUGGCAAAUGUCAUUUUAUUGGCAUACGUCCUUGUGUAUCUGCAACUAGAAAUACCAUCAAACAGCAUUAAACAAUAAUUUAUCUCAAAAUAGUAUAUGAAGGGAAAAAUCACCAAAAUAGUGUUUCUUAAAUAUUUUUUUUUUCAAAAAUUAUAUAAUAUUUUGGUUUAUUAUUGAGAAAUUGCUUUGUAUAACAUUCGAAAAAAUUAUAAUUCAUUCUAUGAUCAAUUACCUUAAUUCAUCGAUAUGUAGUGUGUAUAUAUUAUAUAAUAAUGUAAAUUAACCCUUUAUUAUUUAGAGUUUAUGGUUAGUAUUUAGAAUGUAUAAAUUAGAGUAACGUUUAGGGAUUGGACUAAUUAAAUCAUUUUUAACCCUUUAAUGAAUGCAAUUUUGUGUUUCAAAGAAAAAAAAUGAAUGCAAUUUUGAAUAUUCUUCUGCCAUGCUAAUUUUGUCAUAAGUUUUUUUGGGUGCUAUCUAAGGGAUUUGCCCAAAAAAUAUUGUUCGUUCUUAAAGGUGUAUGUAUCCAUUUGUUAGAGAACUAAUAAAAAAACUGUAAAACAAAACUGAUUGAAUUAUACCCAGCGACUUGAUUGUGAACCAUCCAUGGCCUCCAGUCCUCAACAAUGGAAUAGUUUAGUGAUCUCAUCCAAUCUUGAGUUGCAAGAAAAGGGACAAGCAAGUCGUGAUCACCACUGCUUCACCAGAAACAUCAUGCCAAGAUAAAAAAAAAGUUUAUCAAAAGCCUAAACAGAAGAUUAAAGAAGACUUGGUGUGGACGACCUGAAGAUGAGAGAUCGAUAUCCUUGGAUGCUGUUGUUCUUAUGGUAUGGUACACUGCUGUUAAUGUCAAACUUGUAAGGUAAUUCCCGAUCACAAAGUGACCAUUCUCCGAUAGUCCCCUGCAAAUUUUCACGGUUUUAUUACCAUCAAUCAAAAAGCCUUUCUAUUAUUACCAAACCAUCUUAUAUUAAUAUUUUUUGUUAUCAAUCAUCAUGCAUAUAUAACCUUCUCCACAUGAAGGGCUCUGCGCACACUCUCCUCAUUGGUCCAGCGGUUAGACUGCACAGUCAUGCGAUGCCCAAGCGGGUUGGCGUCAUCGGGGUCAGACGGGUUUAUGUACUUUGGUCCUAGAAUAUAUGACCAAUCUAAUCCAGAAACACACUGUAUAUAAAAAGCAGCUUGAAAAUUAGUGAUCUUCCUUUAUAUUUUUUAAGUGUUUGAUAUUUUUAAGAGUGUAUGUGUUUACGUACCUUCUCAAACUCUUCAACGAGAUUCAUGCAUUCUGUGUUAAGAGGAUCCACUUUAGCAUAAUUUCCUCUGCAGCUUCUCCUUAGCGACUGCAAAUAAGAAUUUUGAGUUAGCUUCUCAGCUGCUUCGUUGUGAUAUCAAUGUAACUCUACCUCGUAGUGCUCGUCAGAGAUCAAAGCCAUUCCAUGAGCAAAUGGAAUGUGCCAGUUCUUCUCGUUAUCCAAGUCUGUUAUAGGAUUUCCCAGCACGUAACCCUGUCGAGAGGGUGUAACAAGAGUACAAGACUCUCAGUUCUUGAUGCUCUAUACAAGGUAUAUCAUGUAUGAUGCAACCAUAAGACCUAUGACGUACCUGAAGAUUUAUUUGAGGUUUACAGCAUAAACCAUUUCCUGAGAUAAAAGUGAAAUAUAUUGAAGAAUGAUACAUUUGAAUAACUUUCAGUGCAAGAGUAUUAGCAAAGGUGAUUACAUGAUCAUAUACUCAACUAUGAGUAUCUAAUGUCCUAAACUAUGACAAUUAUGAUCAGUGUACAUUUCGAAUAGUAAGGCAAGCAAACAAAUAAAAAAAAUGAUCACUAAAACAUAUGGAAUACCAUAUAAUCAGGCUGCAUUUGCACAGAGUCCAAAAAAAAUUGUAAUUUUUUUAAUUAAAAUUUAGAGUAUUUUAUAGAAGUUUAAGAUUUUUAUUUUUGCAAAACUGUUUUAAUCGUUCGUAUAAAAUGAAGAUUGAGACAGGCCUGCAUAUAAUGAGCUAUAAUAUAUUAAUAUCUAAUGCAGAUGGAUAAUGCCUAGCUUGAUAUGAGAGUUAAAGAAAAGGCUAAGUUGAAAUGAUAAUAAAAAAAAUUACCAAUUGAGAUUUCUUGAACAGUAGCGGGAACCACUUUACCGGCAUAAGAAUUUCCGGUGACAUAGAAAGGAUUGGAGAAAUACUCAGGAUGCUUGGCUAGCCACUGCACAAGAAUCAGCCAACAACAAUAACUAAACCACAAAAAGGUCUAUGCACAAAGACAUUUAAAAAAAAACACUUGAAACAGUUUUCUUCCUUUACUUUAUGAACAAACUCAUGGACCAGCUUAGCUGAUCUUGUGUCACUUGGUAUAUUAGCAAGUGGGUUUCUAGAGUAAGAGAAGCCAGUGUCAACAGGCUGAUCCAAAUAGAUUAUAUUCGCCACCUGAUGAAAAAAGAAACAAUCAUCCAAAAAAUUAAUUGAAGAUGACCAAAGAGUGUUUUGUGUUAUGAGUAUACUUUGUGUUAACCUUAGACCAUGAAUAUGUAGUAGAGACCAAUGAUGGGAUGUUUCCACUGUCAGACUCAGUAUUGAAAGCCAGAGGCCCUGCAUGUUUCUCAAAUUGAAAACCAAGUCAUCAAGAUUUCUGUGGAGACAAUAAUUUUAGAUGUUACCAUUCUCAAGAAGAAAGCCAGAGAUAGAAGAGCAGCCAGGUCCUCCGGUUAACCAGAUAAGAAGAGGGUCUUCUGCUGGAGUUCUCUCAGAUUUGAUGAAGUAGUAGAAAAACUGGCUUUCCUCUGCCUCACCAACACCAAUGUACCUGAAUGACUUAACUUUAAAAAAAUCACAGCACAGAUUCAUUAUUUAAAAGACAUGUAUGGAGAUGAGAUGGUGGAGAAGGACAGAACCCGGUUUCAAGCUCGAAAGGAAGAGGGCCAUGGUAACCUGGAAGAUAUCGAACUGUAGAUAUUCCUGAAUAAGCAUGCAGAAGAGGAAGAAGCAGAAGCAGCUGCAACAACAACUUGUUCCCCAUUAAUUGUUUUCUUUGUUUUUCUUCGUUAGAACUUAGGACGAAAACAUUUACAGAUUUAAAUAAAAUGAGAUGCUGCUGGAGAACCAAGAAGAACCAUGGAAUUUGGGAUGGGCACUUUAUCUUGGUUAAUGACACUGUUGACACACAACAAUUCAACCAUGUGGCACGUGCGUCCUUUUUACCAUUCGUUUGCAUGCAGUGCACAAACCAAGAUCCUAUAGUAAAUGUCUGCGUCUCCUUGCGCCGGAGUCGGAAAUGAUGUCAAGAGUAUGACGAAGGCAAAAAGAAAGAAGUGAUCUUAAAUUUUAUGAAAAAAUAGUCUCAAGAAUUAGUGUUGCAAAAAAUGUUGCAUGUUUUCAUGUCUUGUGGACUUUUUUUUGUUGUUGGUCUUAUGGAUUUAUGAUAUUCUAAAGUAAAUCUUGUAAGAUAUUUUAGCGUUAUAAACUUCCAAUUUUAAAGCAAUUGAAGAUAAGUAGAUUGAUUCAAAUUCUUUAUAUACUAAUGUCGAUAUUAUGUUACAUAUUAGAUCAUCUUUCAAAUCAAAACUAAUUGACGAUAAAUGAAUGAUUUUAAUCUUUCAUAUACUAGUUUUGCUCUCUUUAAAAUACUUCUGUCGAUAUAAUUCGACUCAAAUCCUACUUAAAUAUCAGUAACAAACCAUUUCUAAAUCACUUGGUUGCAAUGGAGCGUUAAUAUCAUAUUAUAUUUUAUAAGUUUUUGAUUCAAAACUAAUUGAUAAUAAGUGGAUAAUUUAAAUCGUUUUAUACCUUAGUGUUAAUCCCUUAAAACUUUCAACGUGAGAUCUCUAACACAUUCUAUACUUCUUUGCAAUCAUAUUUACUUUACCAUCAUUAGUCGUUUAUCAAACAAUCUAAUAAUAAAUCCUUGGUAACGUGAAGAGGCACGUACAAGGAACAAAGUCGUGUUUAAAGUGGUUUGAAGUUUGCACAUGGGAGCAAAACCGAUCAAAAGACAAAUUAUAUCUUCAAUCAUUUGGUAUUAUAAAUAAUUCGGUACGGUUCGGGUUUAAAGUCCAAUAAACCAAAAAUAUCCUGAAAACCCGAGUUAAACCCAGAAAAACCAAAAAAAAAUAUUUGGUAAUUCGGGUAGUUCAGAUUUUUUUGGAUAUUUUUAUUUAUAAUUAUAUUUUAUAUAUAUUUAAAAUAAAAAUAAUUAAUAUUUUUAAUAUAUUCAAAAUAUUUGGUAUUUUCGGUUCUCGGUUCGGUUUAGGUUUUUUAGAUUUAUAAAUAUAGAAAUCGUUCAGAUUUUUAUAAUUUUCGAUUUGGUUUCAGUUUCGGGUUUUUCAGUUCGGUUCCAGUUUGGUUUUUGGAUUUCGAAUAAUAUGCUGAUGACUAUCCGUCCCGCCCCUUCCACGCUUAAAGCUGAAUUUAGGCCACAAUUAUCUUUUAAAUAUUUAAGGGCCACGUUUCUAACAUUCCGCUAGUGAAACUUGUAAUAUGUAAUUUGUAUUUCAUUUUUUUUUUUUGAAAAAAGGGCAUUUAAAAUUAAUUAAUUAAACUAACAGGAUCUGGAAUGUAUGCAUAUUGAUUUGUUUAGCUACUUGAACGUUAUUGAUUGUCACGUAUAAAAAAGAAGUUGGAAUUGCCCCCAAAAUUAUCAUUGUCUUUUUGCCUAAUCAUACAACACACAUCAGAUCACCAUACCAAGACUUUGCAGUUUUUUUUUGUUAACAAAUCGCUGAUAGGCUUCUACAGAGGUUGGCCAUUAAUCCAUCUCUUGAACAUAGCAGAGUACUCAUCUGGUUUAUACACAAUGGUGUGCCCGCCGCCCUAUAAACCAAACCCACAAAACUGAGAAACAAUAUCAAGUAUAAAGAAACUAUUUUUAAUUUACGUAAAAAGAAAAGUGUUGACUUGCUUUUACAGUGGCAAAUGUCAUUUUAUUGGCAUACGUCCUUGUGUAUCUGAAACGAGAAAUACGA